Molecule: long non-coding RNA, 396 nt
Organism: Coregonus clupeaformis (lake whitefish)
Lineage: Eukaryota; Metazoa; Chordata; Actinopteri; Salmoniformes; Salmonidae
Exons: 4
Source: RefSeq, a predicted model, not a curated record
CAACCACAAACUUUUUUUCUUCUGGUGUUCAGUUCAGAUGAGAUCUUUGCCAGUAAUCUCUCAGACAACUCCUCAGUGGUUUUCAGUGAUCGGGCUACUAAAACAAAAAAUGAGAUUGAGCCCUUCUAUCGCAAAGCCUUUAAAAGUUUCAUUCAGCUUUUUGUGUUGAAAUUCACACGUGGUUCCAUCAUCACAGACUGCAGAAUGGAGUUUAGACUUACUGGUAACGAGACUGCACCCAAUGCUAAUUCAGUGAAAGAUGUUCUGGUGGCUGCAGUCAACAGCGGGAAUCUAAGUAUCAGGGUCAAUGCCAGCUCCAUCACUGUCAGCGUGACUCCAACCGCUGCCCCAACAACAACCACAGGUGCCAACAGUACAACCACAGCUGCCAACACA